UAUCUCUGUAGAGUCUGCAUAUCAAUAAGCGGAGGAAAAGAAACUAACUAGGAUUCCCUCAGUAACGGCGAGUGAAGCGGGAAGAGCUCAAAUUUGAAAUCUUCAAGGUUUUACCUUGACGAAUUGUAGUUUAAAGAAGUGUUUUCUGUUGAGUGUUUCGGUAAAAGUUCUUUGGAAUAGGACAUCAUAGAGGGUGAGAAUCCCGUAUUUGACCAUUAUUUUCAGCUGUGUGAUACACUUUCAAAGAGUCGGAUUGUUUGGGAAUGCAGUCCAAAAUGGGUGGUAAAUUUCAUCUAAAGCUAAAUAUUGGCGAGAGACCGAUAGCGAACAAGUACCGUGAGGGAAAGAUGAAAAGAACUUUGAAAAGAGAGUUAAACAGUACGUGAAAUUGUCAAAAGGGAAGCGUUUGACACCAGUGUUGUUUUCUCGAAAAUCAAUUAAAAAUGGCUUGAUUUUGUGUUGUAUUGACCUUAAAAGCUUUCCUCACUUUUUUCAUGUCUUUUUUAAUGCGCUUUUCGUUUAACAAGUCAACAUCAGUUUCUUUUGUUGUAAAAAGGUCAUUGGAAGGUGGCUUUCUUUUCGGAGAAAGUGUUUAUAGCCUUUGACUUCUGCAAUCGGAGAGACUGAGGUCUGCAGCGUAGAUCCUUCUGGAUUAGAUUCAUUUGUGCUAAGUUACAACCGUUUAUAGACAACUUGUUGACUAUAUUCGAUCCUGUAGCUUACUCGCUUAUGUAAUUUUACCUACGCUUAGGAUGUUGAUCUGUAGUGCGUGCGC
RNAcentral lists this ribosomal RNA (775 nucleotides) under uncultured Neocallimastigales. Its description in RNAcentral is "partial large subunit ribosomal RNA". It matches the Rfam family "Eukaryotic large subunit ribosomal RNA", at positions 24 to 627 of the family's 3401-position model. Lineage: Eukaryota; Fungi; Neocallimastigomycota; Neocallimastigomycetes; Neocallimastigales. The record is from RNAcentral.